UACCAGCACCCCGAGUGGUCGGGACGUUUAUUGGGCCUAAAGCAUCCGUAGCCGGUUCUGCAAGUCUUCCGUUAAAUCCACCUGCUUAACAGAUGGGCCGCGGAAGAUACUAUAGAGCUAGGAGGCGGGAGAGGCAAGCGGUACUCGAUGGGUAGGGGUAAAAUACCGUUGAUCCAUUGAAGACCACCAGUGGCGAAGGCGGCUUGCCAGAACGCGCUCGACGGUGAGGGAUGAAAGCUGGGGGAGCAAACCGG
Molecule: ribosomal RNA, 254 nt
Filed under: uncultured bacterium
Lineage: Bacteria
Description: partial 16S ribosomal RNA
Rfam family: Archaeal small subunit ribosomal RNA
Source: RNAcentral